AGGGUCAGCUAGCACACUUGCCUCUAAAUUUUGUACACCUGAUAACGCUCUAGCACAGGGUCAGCUAGCACACUUUCUUGUGUACUAAAGUUAUAACGUUUAUAAUAAAGAAUUUAAUACAUUAAAAACCUUUUAGAACUUAGGCAUACGCUCUAGCACAGGGUCAGCUAGCACACUUGCCUCUAAAUUUUGUACACUUGAUAACGCUCUAGCACAGGGUCAGCUAGCACACUUUCUUGUGUAUUAAACUGUUGAAUAUUCUUAUUGUCUAUGUAACGUUACCAAUUUAAACUCAGAAGUUAGGUACUCAGUUAAACCUUUAAGUGAUAUAUAUAUACCUCAGAUAUACCUUGUUUAAUAUUAGACAUACGCUACUAGUAAAGUCUCUAGUACACUUGUCUCUUUGUUAUAUGUAAUAUUUGCUACUGGUCUCAUUGUUAUAUACCAGUGUCAGUGUAUCUGAAGAAAACCCUAGUCAAAUAAUAAACACACUAUUGUUAUUCAUAUUUUUAUUGGUUAACUGCAGUCCUUUAAUAGUCCAUUAUAUAUAUUGAAAGUGACCAUAACAUCAUGCCAAUAAUAAAGUAUUGAACUUGAAAACGUAUUUCCCUUUACUUUAGAUUUUAACAAAUCUAGCGAGACAUAGAGUUUGCUUUUCCAGUCAUUAUAUCUGGUUUAUUGUGUCA
Molecule: long non-coding RNA, 686 nt
Filed under: Mytilus galloprovincialis (Mediterranean mussel)
Lineage: Eukaryota; Metazoa; Mollusca; Bivalvia; Mytilida; Mytilidae
Source: RNAcentral